UUAGUUCCAAGUGGAGUAUACUUUUUAUGGUGGAGUAUGAUAAUUUAAUUUGUCGGUAUAGACAAUGAGAAUUAUGAUUGUCGGUGAAGACAAUGAUUGUCGGUAUAGAUAAUGAAAGCAGAAGAUAAUGAUUGUCGGUGUAGACAAUGAAGAUUGAAGACCAUUACAAUCAAGGUGGAGAUUGUUGGGAUUGAUUGCAAUGUAAGUCUCACAUUGCUAACGAAGAAAAAGAAGGAGGUUAAAAAAUAGCUAUUGAAAGUCCCACAUCGCUUAGAAUUGUGAAGCAAGGAGGAAAUCAAAGCUAUAUAAUGGACCUAAGUUCUUUGUUUAUAAUUGCACCAAGCAGUAACACUUGUAAACACUUUAAGUUUAUAUUUGUGUCUUUUUGCUUUUCUCUUAUGCUCUUGUUUAAGAGUAUUUGAGAUGUAGUUCAAAUAUUU
This 440-nucleotide long non-coding RNA is filed under the name Trifolium pratense (red clover). Its description in RNAcentral is "long non-coding RNA (TPRA_LNC013915)". Lineage: Eukaryota; Viridiplantae; Streptophyta; Magnoliopsida; Fabales; Fabaceae. The record is from RNAcentral.